Molecule: ribosomal RNA, 484 nt
Filed under: uncultured bacterium
Lineage: Bacteria
Description: partial 16S ribosomal RNA
Rfam family: Bacterial small subunit ribosomal RNA
Source: RNAcentral
AUUGAACGCUGGCGGCAGGCCUAACACAUGCAAGUCGAGCGGAUGAAGGGAGCUUGCUCCUGGAUUCAGCGGCGGACGGGUGAGUAAUGCCUAGGAAUCUGCCUGGUAGUGGGGGAUAACGUCCGGAAACGGGCGCUAAUACCGCAUACGUCCUGAGGGAGAAAGUGGGGGAUCUUCGGACCUCACGCUAUCAGAUGAGCCUAGGUCGGAUUAGCUAGUUGGUGGGGUAAAGGCCUACCAAGGCGACGAUCCGUAACUGGUCUGAGAGGAUGAUCAGUCACACUGGAACUGAGACACAGUCGAGACUCCUACGGGAGGCAACAGUGGGGAAUAUUGGACAAUGGGCGAAAGCCUGAUACAGCCAUGCCGCGUGUAUGAAGAAGGUCUUCGGAUUGUAGAGCACUUUAAGUUGGGAGGAAGGGCAGUAAGUUAAUACCUUGCUGUAUUGACGUUACCAGCAGAAUAAGCACCGGCUAACUUCGUG